This 499-nucleotide ribosomal RNA is filed under the name uncultured bacterium. Its description in RNAcentral is "bacterial SSU rRNA". It matches the Rfam family "Bacterial small subunit ribosomal RNA", at positions 21 to 507 of the family's 1533-position model. The record is from RNAcentral.
GGCUCAGGAUGAACGCUAGCGGCAGGCUUAACACAUGCAAGUCGAGGGGCAGCAUGAGACGGAGAUUCGUCGAAGUCUUGAUGGCGACCGGCGCAAGGGUGCGUAACGCGUGAGCAACUUGCCCGUUUCUGGGGAAUAACCGGUGGAAACGCCGACUAAUACCCCAUAGUAUUGACUUUGGGCAUCCUUAGUCAAUUAAAGAAUUUCGGAAACGGAUAGGCUCGCGUGACAUUAGCUGGAUGGCGGGGUAACGGCCCACCAUGGCAACGAUGUCUAGGGGUUCUGAGAGGAAGGUCCCCCACACUGGAACUGAGACACGGUCCAGACUCCUACGGGAGGCAGCAGUGAGGAAUAUUGGUCAAUGGUCUGACGACUGAACCAGCCAUGCCGCGUGAAGGUCACGGCCCUAUGGGUCUUAAACUUCUUUUGUAAGGGAGCAAUAAGCUUUACGUGUAGAGUGAUGAGAGUACCUUACGAAUAAGCAUCGGCUAACUCCGUG